This 1788-nucleotide ribosomal RNA is filed under the name Triticum aestivum (bread wheat). RNAcentral's name for it is "partial small subunit ribosomal RNA". The record is from RNAcentral. Lineage: Eukaryota; Viridiplantae; Streptophyta; Magnoliopsida; Poales; Poaceae.
AUGGCCACGUCAAGCAAAUGCCUCUGGCCGACCUCGCCGCUGCGGAAAGCAGUGCGCUGCACCUCCUCCUCGUCGUCCUCGACUCCGCCGGCUCGCCGGUCAGCAAACUACGCUCCCAGCUCCUGGGACUACGACUCCCUCCUGCUUUCGCUCGACGAUCGCAGACAUGACACCCAUGAUCAGUUACGUGCACGCUUGGAUGGGUUGCGAGCUAGGAGCUUCGAUAAGUUGAAGGCCGAAGUGAGGGAGCGGCUGAUGGUGGUGAGCGGAGGUGACGACCAACCUGCAAAGCUCAGGCUCGUCGACACACUGCAACGGCUCGGUAUCGCCUACCACUUCGACGACGAGAUCACCGACAUCCUCACCACUAUCCAUAGUGCAAAAAAUCAUCAUUGGAGCCGUGAUGAUGAUGAUGAUGACGUUGCUUCCGCGGCCUUGAGAUUCAGGUUGCUCAGGGAGAGUGGCUUCCCAGUCCACUUCCCUGCACGUAAAUCUCUGGAAGAUCUCAGGCGCGGAAUAGAUGAUGAUGUCAAGGGGCUCCUCUCACUCUAUGAGGCUUCAUACCUUACGUUUGAAGGCGAGGAAGCAUUGGACGAGGCAAGAGCAUUUUCCAAGAAAGCUCUCAUAAAGCUCUUGCCAUCCAUGGAUCACCACUUACGGCGUAGUGUAGUUCGUUCUUUGGACCUUCCAUUGCACCGGAGGUCUCCUAGACUAGAAGCAAGAUGGUUCAUAGAUCACUAUGCUAGUGAUGAGAGCAAUUCCGACCCGUUGCUCGUUAGAUUUGCAACGAAGGACUUCAACAAUGUUCAAAGUGUGCAUCAGGAAGAACUCGCAAGACUGGCAAGGUGGUGGAAGGGAACCGCCCUUACUGAAAAAUUGGGGUUCGCCAGGGAUCGUCUCAUGGAGUGCUUCCAUUACGCAAAUGGAAUUGUGUGGGAGCCAAAUAAUGGAGCAUGUCGAGAAGUGCUUGCUAAAGUCGCCAACCUAAUAGUUCACUUAGAUGAUGUUUAUGAUGUGUAUGGAACUCCAGAUGAACUUGUUCUCUUCACUGACGCCAUUGGAAGAUGGGAAGAAAGUCCUUGUGAAAUGCUCCCUGAAUACAUGCAAGCACUCUAUUCCGUCGUGUACAACACGUCCGCUGAGGUGGCUGAAAAUGUGUUUAAACAACAUGGUUGUGACACCCGUUAUGUUCUUCAGAAAGCUUGGGGAGACAUGGCGGAGUCUUUCCUGGUGGAGGCAAAGUGGCAGCAUGGAAACCACAGACCAACACUCCAUGAGUAUCUGGACAAUGGAUCAAUUUCAUCUUCUGCGCCACUGCUACUGCAACAUGCAUUUCCCCUGCUCCGCGUGGAAGAAAAGCUCACCUCAAUCUCUAUUGCUAAAGUUGGAGGCUACCCAAAAUUAGUUCAGUCUGCAUCGUUAGUUCUUCGCCUCUGCAACGACUCUGCAACCCACUCUAUAAGGACAAUCAAUCCAACUUUUUUUGCUGAGCUGGAGCGAGGGGAUGCACCAUCAUCAAUAGCUAUUCACAUGCCCGAGAACAGCUCCAGUGAGCAAGAGUCCCGCGAAGCCAUGGAAGAUCUUACCAUGGAAGCCUGGAAGUCAAUUAAUGAAGAUGCAUUCAAACAUUGCCGAUUUUCUAGAUCUUUCGCCAAGACUUGCGUGAAUUUGGCUCGAAUCUCACAUUGUGUUUACCAAGGCUGCGAUGGUUUUGGUGCGCCGGAUGGUCAGAACAAAAGGCAAAUUAAAGAGUUGUUCUUGGACUCUAUCAUGAGUGAGAAACAUUAA